RNAcentral lists this small nucleolar RNA (107 nucleotides) under Gossypium raimondii (Peruvian cotton). RNAcentral describes it as "snoRNA LOC128036426". It matches the Rfam family "Plant small nucleolar RNA R71". Rfam says of the family: R71 is a member of the C/D box family of snoRNAs containing the C (UGAUGA) and D (CUGA) box motifs. Multiple nearly identical copies of this snoRNA have been identified in Arabidopsis, and it is thought to function as a 2'-O-ribose methylation guide for 18S ribosomal RNA. The record is from Rfam by way of RNAcentral. Lineage: Eukaryota; Viridiplantae; Streptophyta; Magnoliopsida; Malvales; Malvaceae.
AAUCCAUGCAUCAAACAUUUUUGAAGUAAUUCUUUAAAUAAUUCCCAAGCUUCAUAUAAUGUUUCAUCCUCUAACUGCCGAAAAGAUUUGAUGUCAUUUCUAAGCUU